CCUACGGGAGGCAGCAGUGGGGAAUAUUGGACAAUGGGGGCAACCCUGAUCCAGCCAUGCCGCGUGUGUGAAGAAGGCCCUCGGGUUGUAAAGCACUUUCAGUGAGGAAGAACGCCUGGUGGUUAAUACCCAUCAGGAAAGACAUCACUCACAGAAGAAGCACCGGCUAACUCCGUGCCAGCAGCCGCGGUAAUACGGAGGGUGCGAGCGUUAAUCGGAAUUACUGGGCGUAAAGCGCGCGUAGGUGGCUUGAUAAGCCGGUUGUGAAAGCCCCGGGCUCAACCUGGGAACGGCAUCCGGAACUGUCAAGCUAGAGUGCAGGAGAGGAAGGUAGAAUUCCCGGUGUAGCGGUGAAAUGCGUAGAGAUCUGGAGGAAUACCAGUGGCGAAGGCGGCCUUCUGGACUGACACUGACACUGAGGUGCGAAAGCGUGGGUAGCAAACAGGAUUAGAUACCCUGGUAGUC
RNAcentral lists this ribosomal RNA (465 nucleotides) under Vreelandella stevensii. RNAcentral describes it as "partial 16S ribosomal RNA". It matches the Rfam family "Bacterial small subunit ribosomal RNA", at positions 338 to 795 of the family's 1533-position model. The record is from RNAcentral. Lineage: Bacteria; Pseudomonadati; Pseudomonadota; Gammaproteobacteria; Oceanospirillales; Halomonadaceae.